ACCGUCCGUUAGUCGAUUAUGGUGAAGCCGAAAACGCCAUUAUACCCGAAGCUAAAAUAUUAGUUCAUUGUGGAUUUUGUUGAAGUUUUGUGGUGAGACCAUUUGUGGAGGAGUAUAUCUAUCGUAUUUGUAUUUGUGGAGCAUGUCUGCAGCUGCAUUGGGCUUUAUUUCGGCUCCCAACUCAGUGAGUCUCAGCCUCACCCACCUGUUGCCUCCAAACACAAGCCUGAUUUUCUUUAACUCUCUAUCGAUGCCCACUUAUGGAAACUCUUGUUUAUCGAAGCCAGCUUCUCUUAGUUAAGUAUUAUUUUUUAGAGUUCCAUAUGGAUCCUUCAACACCAAGCGCAAUUCCUUCUUCACUUCCUUUAAACCCUUUUCUUCUCCUGUCAUGCAGUGGCAGGAUUGCACGUAAUGCUCUCUCAUUUUUUACUUUAAUUCAGUUUGAUAAAUGUUACUAGUUUCAACAGCUUACGGGCAAAUUGAAUGCAGGGUAAGAACUGAAAUUGAUGUACCUGUUUCGGUAGCUUAUAAUUGUUACUCUGACAGCGAAGCCAUUCCUCGUUGGAUGCCGUUUAUUUCUUCUGUAAAGGUAUUGGAAGACAAGCCUAACUUAUCACAAUGGUCUUUAAAAUAUAAUGCUUUUGGUCGUGAUAUAGAAUACUCUUGGCUUGCUAGAAAUUUGCAGGUGAGUUUCACUGGACAGUGUUUACCCAUUUACUCUUGACUCUUUUAUUCAAUUGAUUUUUGUGUUAUUUUUUUCAUGUUCCCUUUUAUAUUAGGCUUUAAUCUGCUACCUGCAGCCUAUCCCAAAUCAGAAAAUUCACUGGAGAUCUCUAGAAGGUCUUCCUAAUAGGUAACUGUAAUAAAACCCUGUGGCCAAAACUUACGACUUGCAAGCAUGAUUUCAUAUUUUUGACUAUAUUGUAGAGUCAACGAGAAUUUUCUUGUUGACAUUUGUGACUGUUGUCCAAGGUUUAACAGAGUAAAAUCUGCUGGCACAUGGAAGACAAUGCUAUAUUUGGGAGCUCAGAUUGAUUCAAUAUAGUGUGGACACUUUUUCAUGGCUUCAUGCUAUGGCUUGGAGAGAAGAAAGUACAAAAGAAAAAGAUAAUAGGCAGAGCCAGAGCUCCGAGACUUGUAGGAGAGAGAAGAAAUGUCCUUUCUACUUCAAGCUGUGAACUAACAAAUUAUAUAAAUCUUUUACAGCUAACUGUUUCAUAUGAGGUUCCUCAACUUCUAGUUCCAGUUGCAUCUGUAAGCUUUCUCACCUUCGAUUUAGAAGCUUUGGUGGCUUGUGAUAAAGAACACACCUAUUUUAAUAUCUUGGAAAGAAAUAGUGGAAGGAAUAUUGUAUUUGUUUGAAUGUGCCUCAACAUUUUGAUGUAGCAUGCAUCAUCACACGUUUCUCUGUUAACAUUUUCAGGCCCUUCAACCUUUUCUAGAAAGCUUACUCAGAAGGGGUUUGGAAAGUUUUGCUAAGGUUGCAAAAAGCUAUUAGGCGAACUCAAUUUAUGACGGUCUCAAUUCAGUAAUAAAAUUUUCAGGUUCAUUAUUGUAACCGAUUUUUUGAUGUGGAUGCUCUUUCCCUCAAUGAAGUAUAGUUCUCUUUUGUCUGUAUUGUCCAU
Molecule: long non-coding RNA, 1625 nt
Organism: Mangifera indica (mango)
Lineage: Eukaryota; Viridiplantae; Streptophyta; Magnoliopsida; Sapindales; Anacardiaceae
Exons: 2
Source: RefSeq, a predicted model, not a curated record